RNAcentral lists this ribosomal RNA (253 nucleotides) under uncultured bacterium. RNAcentral's name for it is "partial 16S ribosomal RNA". It matches the Rfam family "Bacterial small subunit ribosomal RNA", at positions 524 to 776 of the family's 1533-position model. The record is from RNAcentral.
GACGAACCGUGCAAACGUUGUUCGGAAUCACUGGGCUUAAAGGGCGCGUAGGCGGGCUGCCAAGUCCGGGGUGAAAUCCUUCGGCUUAACCGGAGAAUUGCCUGGGAUACUGGCGGCCUUGAGUGAGGUAGGGGCACGCGGAACUUCCGGUGGAGCGGUGAAAUGCGUUGAUAUCGGAAGGAACGCCGGUGGCGAAAGCGGCGUGCUGGCCCUCUUCUGACGCUGAGGCGCGAAAGCCAGGGGAGCGAACGGG